This 287-nucleotide long non-coding RNA is filed under the name Olea europaea (common olive). RNAcentral's name for it is "long non-coding RNA (OEUR_LNC013529)". Lineage: Eukaryota; Viridiplantae; Streptophyta; Magnoliopsida; Lamiales; Oleaceae. The record is from RNAcentral.
AAACGUUGGGCUCGGGUUUUGGGCCUCUUGUUUGAGUUAUCGAGUAAUGGGUUGUAGUAUCUGAAAUGGGCUUAGCCCAAUCUAUCAUCAUAGCCCAAAAGUUUGAGUUGUAAUUCCAAAAUUGGCAUCACAAUUCAAACAAUCUCCACCUUGAUGCCAAUGACUCAAACUGAACUAGAAAUUAACAAAUAAUAAAACCAACAAUUCCAUCCACUUGUUUUAUUUGAUUUCAUAGCCUACAGCAUCAAGAUGGAUACACAGGUCCCUGCAAAAUCACAAAGGAUUAC